Molecule: ribosomal RNA, 250 nt
Filed under: uncultured bacterium
Lineage: Bacteria
Description: partial 16S ribosomal RNA
Rfam family: Bacterial small subunit ribosomal RNA
Source: RNAcentral
UACGGGGGGGCAAGCGUUGUUCGGAAUUACUGGGCGUAAAGGGCGCGUAGGCGGUGCUCUAAGUCGGAUGUGAAACUCUGGGCUCAACCCAGAGCCUGCAUCCGAAACUGGAGUGCUAGAGUUCUGGAGGGGUAGCGGAAUUCCCGGUGUAGCGGUGAAAUGCGCAGAUAUCGGGAAGAACACCCGUGGCGAAGGCGGCACUCUGGGACGGUACUGACGCUGAGACGCGAAAGCGUGGGGAGCGAACAGG